GCUGAAGAGGCCAAGAUGGGCCAUCUGCAAGCAGAAUUUAGGAGAGCAGACGCUGCAAGGAAGUGGAGGAAGCAAAGAGAAGCAGACACGUCGUGUGUGGCUGGGUCACUUAGAGAACUAGAGGGAAUCUCCGUGCGUGUUUAUGGCUGAGGUCUCUAGGGCUGUCUUGAACCCCUGACCACUCACCAGCACCAGCCUCCAUUCUCGGCUUUUUGGAGGGCCCUAUCCCCUGCUGCUCCAUGUCUCUUUUUACAGUAAAUUCCACCUCUGUUCCAUGCCACCAGUGGACCCUAAUUAAACACGAGACCAGGAUUGGCGUUGUGUGCUGGUGGACUUGAAAUUGUCCAGGCAAGAGAGGACGAGGCUUUGAAUUAAGGGAGAGACAAUGGGGAUGAAGAGAAAUGACUAUUAAGGAGGCAGAAUCUCCACAGCUUGCUGUUGGGAGAAUCCCUUUAGGUGGUGGAUAUGAACGUCCUUUGUAAACCAUAGCGGGCUCGAAAAUGUAAAGCGGUGACUGCCGUAUUAUUUUUUCUGCAUCAUUUCCCAGAAGUAACAUAGAAAUAACAGGCUUUGGCUAUUACAAAUAAAGCUACUAUAAUAUGUUUUCAUGUCUCCUGGAC
This is a long non-coding RNA of Choloepus didactylus (southern two-toed sloth), 620 nucleotides long. RefSeq lists it as uncharacterized. The transcript has 3 exons. Lineage: Eukaryota; Metazoa; Chordata; Mammalia; Pilosa; Megalonychidae. The record is from RefSeq and is a predicted model, not a curated record.